GGUCAGAGAGAGGGGGUGUGACAAGGUCAGAGAAAGGGACAUGAUGUGUUCUGAGAGAGGGACAUGACAAGGUCAGAGAGUGGGGUAGAGAGGGGUGUGACAAGGUUCGAGAGAGGGAUGUGACAAGGUCAGAGAGAGGGGUGAGACAAGGUCAGAGAGAGGGGUGUGACAAGGUCAGAGAGAGGGGUGUGACAAGGUCAGAGAGAGGGACGUGACAAGGUCAGAGAGUGGGGCAGAGAGGGACGUGACAAGGUCAGAGAGAGGGACGUGACAAGGUCAGAGAGAGGGGUGUGACAAGGUCAGAGAGUGGGGCAGAGAGGGGUGUGACAAGGUUCGAGAGAGGGACGUGACAAGGUCAGAGAAUGGGACAUGACGAGGUCAGAGAGAGGGGUGUGACAAGGUCAGAGAGACGGACGUGACAAGGUCAGAGGGAGGGGUGUGACAAGGUCAGAGAGAGGGGUUUGACAAG
Long non-coding RNA from Haliotis rubra (blacklip abalone), 469 nucleotides. RefSeq lists it as uncharacterized. The record is from RefSeq and is a predicted model, not a curated record. The transcript is spliced from 4 exons. Lineage: Eukaryota; Metazoa; Mollusca; Gastropoda; Lepetellida; Haliotidae.